GUCAUAUACCUUUUUACAAACUCCAGGUGUGCUGUCAUGUACCUUUUUACAAACUCCAGGUGUGCUGUCAUGUACCUUUUUACAAACUCCAGGUGUGCUGUCAUGUACCUUUUUACAAACUCCAGGUGUGCUGUCAUGUACCUUUUUUACAAACUCCAGGUGUGCUGUCAUAUACCUUUUUACAAACUCCAGGUGUGCUGUCAUGUACCUUUUUCUCAGGAGUGGCUUCCGUCUGGCCACUCUCCCAUAAAGCCCAGAUGGAUGAAGUGCUGUAGAGACUGUUUGUCCUUCUGGCAGCUUCUCCUCUCUCUGCCAUAUAACUCUGUAGUUCUGUAGAGACUGUUGUCCUUCUGGCAGCUUCUCCUCUCUCUGCCAUAUAACUCUGUAGUUCUGUAGAGACUGUUGUCCUUCUGGCAGCUUCUCCUCUCUCAGCCAUAUAACUCAUUGGUGGUCAUUUGGUUUGAGAGUGUGAGCUGGAAGGUGGACUGGAAAGUGAGCCGCGUUCAGGGGAUCUAUGUCAAAUCAAAUCACAUUUAUUGGUCACAUACACAUGGUUAGCAGAUGUUAAUGCGAGUGUAGCGAAAUGCUUGUGCUUCUAGUUCCGACAAUGCAGUAAUAACCAACGAGUAACCUAACCUAACAAUUUCACAACAACUACCUUAUACACACAAGUGUAAAGGGAUAAAGAUUGUACAUAAAGAUAUAUGAAUGAGUGAUGGUACA
Oncorhynchus tshawytscha (Chinook salmon) is the source of this 723-nucleotide long non-coding RNA. NCBI's taxonomy places the organism in Eukaryota, Metazoa, Chordata, Actinopteri, Salmoniformes, Salmonidae. The record is from Ensembl.